GUAACGAGCGCAACCCUUGUCCUAGUUACCAGCACGUUAUGGUGGGCACUCUAAGGAGACUGCCGGUGACAAACCGGAGGAAGGUGGGGAUGACGUCAAGUCAUCAUGGCCCUUACGGCCUGGGCUACACACGUGCUACAAUGGUCGGUACAAAGGGUUGCCAAGCCGCGAGGUGGAGCUAAUCCCAUAAACCGAUCGUAGUCCGGAUCGCAGUCUGCAACUCGACUGCGUGAAGUCGGAAUCGCUAGUAAUCGUGAAUCAGAAUGUCACGGUGAAUACGUUCCCGGGCCUU
This 292-nucleotide ribosomal RNA is filed under the name uncultured Pseudomonas sp. RNAcentral describes it as "partial 16S ribosomal RNA". It matches the Rfam family "Bacterial small subunit ribosomal RNA", at positions 1089 to 1382 of the family's 1533-position model. The record is from RNAcentral. Lineage: Bacteria; Pseudomonadati; Pseudomonadota; Gammaproteobacteria; Pseudomonadales; Pseudomonadaceae.